CCUACUGGUGGCAGCAGUGGGGAAUAUUGGACAAUGGGCGAAAGCCUGAUCCAGCCAUGCCGCGUGUGUGAAGAAGGCCUUCGGGUUGUAAAGCACUUUCAGUGGGGAAGAAAGCCUUGGGGCUAAUACCCUCGAGGAAGGACAUCACCCACAGAAGAAGCACCGGCUAACUCCGUGCCAGCAGCCGCGGUAAUACGGAGGGUGCGAGCGUUAAUCGGAAUUACUGGGCGUAAAGCGCGCGUAGGCGGUCUGAUAAGCCGGUUGUGAAAGCCCCGGGCUCAACCUGGGAACGGCAUCCGGAACUGGCAGGCUAGAGUGCAGGAGAGGAAGGUAGAAUUCCCGGUGUAGCGGUGAAAUGCGUAGAGAUCGGGAGGAAUACCAGUGGCGAAGGCGGCCUUCUGGACUGACACUGACGCUGAGGUGCGAAAGCGUGGGUAGCAAACAGGAUUAGAUACCCUUGUAGUC
Molecule: ribosomal RNA, 465 nt
Filed under: Vreelandella stevensii
Lineage: Bacteria; Pseudomonadati; Pseudomonadota; Gammaproteobacteria; Oceanospirillales; Halomonadaceae
Description: partial 16S ribosomal RNA
Rfam family: Bacterial small subunit ribosomal RNA
Source: RNAcentral